GUUCAAAAUGUUAACCAGGUGGUUAACAUUCACAGCUUUUCUGGCUUGCUCAGCGAAUCCAGAAAGAGCAGCUAUUACCGUCGCACCGACCUGCACGGUCAAAGGUCAUCCAGAGGUAGUGCUGACUUUAAACUGUGGUGACGGAAAGAACGCAGGUGUGGUUCAGUACUGGCACACCCCCUUUGGAGACCUUCAGACCCCUGGUUUCAACAGUGAGCUGGACCCUGUCUUUAUGCACCAUGACGGGAGCCUGGUGGUCCCCAACACCAGCCUUCUCCACAGUGGCCUGUACUACUGCCUCCUGCAGCACACAGAGGGAACUACACUGUGGCCGUACGAGCUCCACGUUGGUCAUAACAACCAAAACAACCCAGAACACAGCAGAUAUGAGCAACGUGGCAGCUGUGAGUCCAGGUCCAGGUCCAGGUCCAGGAGGGAUGUUGGGUCUGAGGAGGAGAGGCAGGCAGGAGUCUCAGAUGGGGAGUUUGCAGGAGCUGUGGCGGCAUCAGUGCUGCUGACGUUUGUGUUUGGUUUCAGUGCUGGAGCUCUGACCAGGACUCAUGUUCUCAGGUGUUUAGGGGCAGUCUCUACGAGGUUGCGAUUACCACGGAAACAACAACGUCAAACUGACACACCUGAACACGCCUCUGAGGUCAACAUGACAACCAUCCCACCCACGCACGACAACCGGGCUUUUGAGGCGGAACAGGUGUGGGACGACAACUCUGUAAACAUGGAGACGACGAUUUCAUCGACAACCUCAUCGCCUCCUGCCAAACCUCAGAGAAGCUUCCGGAACAAACGACUGGAGGAGCAGGAAACAACUGCCUAUCUGGAGGGAUGUGACUACAUGAAAGAAGAGGAGAGAAAGGUGGAGGAGGAGGAGGAGGAGGAGGAGGAGGAGGAGGCAGGUAGAAGUCUGGAGGAGGGGAAUAAAGAGUGUGGUGGGGAAGCAGAGGAGACAUUAGGAGAAGAUGAAGGGAGUCAAUCCGAAACAGAUGAAGAUGAGUGCAGUGAGAAAGGAGAGGAGAAAGAUGGAAGAGAGAGCAGAGAGGAAACGAAGGAAUGGAGGCAGGAGAAAGAGGUGGAGGAGCCAGGUGAGCAGGAGACCAAGGAGGAAGUAGAGGAGAGGGGAGGAAGUGAGGAGGCGGAAUGCAACAAGGAGGAAGGGAAAGAUGAGAAGAGGGAGGAGGAGGAAGAGGGAGAUGAUGGAGAUAAGAAGAAAAGAGAGGAAGAUGGAGAGACAGACAUUUGCAGUGAAGACGACGAGACAGGCAGUAAACAGGAGGACCCAAUGAAAAAUGGCCUCACAGGAGGAGGAGACGCAGCACCCAGCCGGGGCCGUCGCAGCCGCGUCAUUCGUCUGUACCAGUAUGACGAGGACGGCCAGCGGUACUGCCACCUUCCUGCCCCCGAGGCGCCACGCCCAGCCCCCAGGCUCAAACAGCGCUCCGUCUCUCUCACACGCCUCAACGCCAUCAUGGCUGCCGCCUCAGCAGGGCCACUGGACACCAGAGAGACGGGGAGGGAGGGUGCAGAGGAGAGGCCACACUUCCACAUGGAGAUUUAA
Long non-coding RNA from Dicentrarchus labrax (European seabass), 1570 nucleotides. The record is from Ensembl. Lineage: Eukaryota; Metazoa; Chordata; Actinopteri; Moronidae.